UACGGGAGUGGCAGACGGGAGAGUAACACGUGGGAACGUGCCCUUCAGUUCGGAACAACCCAGGGAAACUUGGGCUAAUACCGGAUACGUCCGUAAGGAGAAAGAUUUAUCGCUGAAGGAUCGGCCCGCGUCUGAUUAGCUAGUUGGUGAGGUAACGGCUCACCAAGGCGACGAUCAGUAGCUGGUCUGAGAGGAUGAUCAGCCUCAUUGGGACUGAGACACGGCCCAA
RNAcentral lists this ribosomal RNA (229 nucleotides) under uncultured bacterium. RNAcentral's name for it is "partial 16S ribosomal RNA". It matches the Rfam family "Bacterial small subunit ribosomal RNA", at positions 88 to 334 of the family's 1533-position model. The record is from RNAcentral.